RNAcentral lists this ribosomal RNA (1342 nucleotides) under uncultured bacterium. Its description in RNAcentral is "bacterial SSU rRNA". It matches the Rfam family "Bacterial small subunit ribosomal RNA", at positions 28 to 1387 of the family's 1533-position model. The record is from RNAcentral.
GACGAACGCUGGCGGCGCGCCUAACACAUGCAAGUCGAACGGAGCUUAGAGAGCUUGCUUUUUAAGCUUAGUGGCGAACGGGUGAGUAACGCGUGAGUAACCUGCCCUAGAGUGGGGGACAACAGUUGGAAACGACUGCUAAUACCGCAUAAGCCCACGGUACCGCAUGGUACUGAGGGAAAAGGAUUUAUUCGCUUUAGGAUGGACUCGCGUCCAAUUAGCUAGUUGGUGAGGUAACGGCCCACCAAGGCGACGAUUGGUAGCCGGACUGAGAGGUUGAACGGCCACAUUGGGACUGAGACACGGCCCAGACUCCUACGGGAGGCAGCAGUGGGGGAUAUUGCACAAUGGGGGGAAACCCUGAUGCAGCGACGCCGCGUGGAGGAAGAAGGGUUUUCGGAUUGUAAACUCCUGUCGUUAGGGACGAUAAUGACGGUACCUAACAAGAAAGCACCGGCUAACUACGUGCCAGCAGCCGCGGUAAAACGUAGGUUGCAAGCGUUGUCCGGAAUUACUGGGUGUAAAGGGAGCGCAGGCGGGAAGACAAGUUGGAAGUGAAAACCAUGGGCUCAACCCAUGAAUUGCUUUCAAAACUGUUUUUCUUGAGUAGUGCAGAGGUAGAUGGAAUUCCCGGUGUAGCGGUGGAAUGCGUAGAUAUCGGGAGGAACACCAGUGGCGAAGGCGGUCUACUGGGCACCAACUGACGCUGAGGCUCGAAAGCAUGGGUAGCAAACAGGAUUAGAUACCCUGGUAGUCCAUGCCGUAAACGAUGAUUAUUAGGUGUUGGGGGAUUGACCCCCUCAGUGCCGCAGUUAACACAAUAAGUAAUCCACCUGGGGAGUACGACUGCAAGGUUGAAACUCAAAGGAAUUGACGGGGGCCCGCACAAGCAGUGGAGUAUGUGGUUUAAUUCGAAGCAACGCGAAGAACCUUACCAGGUCUUGACAUCCGAUGCAUAACACAGAGAUGUGUGAAAUCCUUCGGGACAUCGAGACAGGUGGUGCAUGGUUGUCGUCAGCUCGUGUCGUGAGAUGUUGGGUUAAGUCCCGCAACGAGCGCAACCCUUAUUGCCAGUUACUACGUUAAGAGGACUCUGGCGAGACUGCCGUUGACAAAACGGAGGAAGGUGGGGAGGACGUCAAAUCAUCAUGCCCUUUAUGACCUGGGCUACACACGUACUACAAUGGCGUUAAACAAAGAGAAGCAAGACCGCGAGGUGGAGCAAAACUCAAAAACAACGUCUCAGUUCAGAUUGCAGGCUGCAACUCGCCUGCAUGAAGUCGGAAUUGCUAGUAAUCGCGGAUCAGCAUGCCGCGGUGAAUACAAUCCCGGGCCUUGCACA